GGCCAUUGUUCUAUCCAGACAGUGAGUUAACGUAAAAACUCAGUUGUCUGCAUUCCUCUUAUUCAUUGUAAGUCAGUUUUCAAGCUUAUUUUCUUAUUGUUUUCUCUUAGAGCAAGUUAUCUUUUCUGCAACAGGAGGACAAGAUGAGCAAGGUAUCAACAGGUGUCUUCACGAGCCUUCCACGUGGUUUCUCCUCCCUGGAGGAAAGGACAGGGGCACCAGAACCAGGUACAUGGCUGGCUCCAGGCUGCAGCAAGGAGAUGAGAAUCAAGCAUGCACUCUGUCUCUGUGAGAGGACUCAUCACUGCUAUAUUCAUGAGAGCUUGAAAACAAUACAGAAGUAGGAAAGAAGAAAGAAAAUGUGCGUGAAGAAGCAGACUCCCUUAAGGCAAGUUCUUCAUGUCAAAACACUUGUUGGCUGCUUGUUUUGAGGCUUUCAAUUUAAACAACGUAUGAAAUGCAAUGGCCUG
This 470-nucleotide long non-coding RNA is filed under the name Numida meleagris (helmeted guineafowl). Its description in RNAcentral is "lncRNA (ENSNMEG00000006676.1)". The record is from RNAcentral. Lineage: Eukaryota; Metazoa; Chordata; Aves; Galliformes; Numididae.